CCUCAACUUUGGACUUCUGGCCUCCAGAACUUUGAGUUGAUAAUUAUUGUUGUUGCUGUUGUCAUGGCAGCACAGUUAUGGGAGCACAUUUUUGAACACAGGCUCCCACCUUCAACUUAUCACUUCCUUACCUUUGCUGGGGUACCUGAUGACUUUAAAGAGACUGUUUCUUUGGAGAAGGUGGAAUACGCUUAAAGAUUGGAAUGGAUACAACCAAACCACCAUAAAAGCCUUAUGUGGAACAUGGCAGACCUCUCUCAAUCAAAAUCCCGAUACGACCACAGGGAAUGACCGCCCUCAUGGGCCAGCUUUGGACUGUCAUGUGAAUGACAAAUUGGUCUUGCCUUUAAAACACCAUUUUAAAAGAGACCAUUUGUUAGUGCCUGAAAUCUGUAACUGGCUUAAAAGCUCUGUCAGCUGGAAAGGAACCUGUCAGUGUGAUAAUGGAAAAGAAGAAGAUACAUCAGAGAGAGACAGAGGGUGAAAAUACCAAGGAUAGAGCAAGUCUGACAAACUCACGUUGAAUAACAAGAUCUUCAUGGCCUGGAUCCCUGAAAGACUGUGUGGAACAGAGCCCCUUGACAACCUGAAACCCCUACCUUCAUUCAGAUUGUUGUGUGAGGUUCCAAUAAUGUGAUUCCUUUUUAAGACACUAAGGGGGAGUAUUUGUUACAGCAGGUUAACAUAUAUUAAUUAACAGCCAUAUAAUAAAAUAUGUGUGUAUUUAAG
This 729-nucleotide long non-coding RNA is filed under the name Homo sapiens (human). RNAcentral describes it as "HSALNT0324995". The record is from RNAcentral. Lineage: Eukaryota; Metazoa; Chordata; Mammalia; Primates; Hominidae.